AAAUGUGAACAAAUACUUAAGUCAUGAGUCAUUUCCUUAUUUAUGCAAUCGAGAAACCUCAUAUGUGUGAAGUGUAUAAAUAUUAGUGUUGUUUAACCUUUUUGAUAGUUAUCAUCGAGCUCAGUUUGGAUUCCAAUUAUGCAGUGCAGUGUGCACAAACAAACGUGGCUCGCAUUGCAAAUUUAAGACUGACAUACAUGGUGCCUAUUUGGGAAGAAAGAAUUGCCAUAUCUUGCUACAGUUUAUGCACACAGUUUCAGACUGUUUGACUGCUGUUGCCAUAACCACUUUAUACAGUUUAUUAUCUUCAAGCAGAGCCAAACAAGUUUUUUUUUUUUUUAAUUUCCCUCAUGACUGCAUGUAAAUGAAAUUUAAGACAUUAUUACAUACCAGUCACUUUAUUGCCUACCAAAAUACACUUAGAUAAUGAUAAACAUGUUACUGCAUUAAUAUACAUCUGAUACGGAAGUUCUGAAGUGUGGCUAAGUGUUUCACCAUGUGUAAUCACCAUAUGUAGUCUUUAACUUGUAAGUGUAUUGACUUAAAUGCAGCUUAUUCCGAGUUUAAUGCAUAGUCCAAUCACAGCCUUGCUGUUAGUGAUAUAAAUGUAUUCCUGAUGGCUGUCAUGAAGUAAUGCAUUAUUUCCACUCAUUGUAAUGAAAUACUAAAGACUCUGAAAUGGCAACAUGAGGAUGAAACUUGCAUUAUGUUCAUAAAACAGUACAGGAUUUACCAUAUCUGAUACUGAGAAAGAAAAAUAGAUGUCUGAAACGGAAGUUUUCAAUCCAAUCUUGCACGUACUGAUACUGCAGGGGAGCUCCAUCUGUAUAUCCAAGUGGAUAAAAAAAUUUGGAAUAUUGGGAAACAUAAUUUCUGUGCAGCAUUUGUCUAACAACUGCACUUAACAUACCCUAAAGCCUUGUUUAGAGUGACCGCACUUCUGAGCACAAGAUAUGUGUGAAUUUGAUAGCUUCGUUAUCAGCACGUGUAUUUUAGCUGCAUCGGUGCUUUCAAAUAAGACUGACCGAGCUGAUGUGAGCCUGGGAACUGAAAAAUUUUGACUCUGAAUAUGUGUGAUGAAGGAUUUGACCAAUUAGAGACUUGAAAGUUAUCAAAAGGUAUUUUACUGAUAUUGUUUUCUGAGCAGUGUGGACUAAGAUUCAUCAUAAGAUUUCAAAUGUGGGAAAAGUGUACCAGCAGUAUAUUUUAUAGGAUGAAAAUCAGCAGUAGUUAUUUGUUAAUAUAUAAAUGUGUUUUGUCAUAAGUAAUGUUUUUAUAAUGCAUAUAAUUAUUAUAUGGACAGUGUGAUUUUGCGUUACAUAUCUUGUUUAAUAAUUUAGAAGUCAAAUGUAAUUUGAAUAAAAAUAUUUAAAGAAUGUGAA
This is a long non-coding RNA of Stegodyphus dumicola, 1382 nucleotides long. Lineage: Eukaryota; Metazoa; Arthropoda; Arachnida; Araneae; Eresidae. The record is from RefSeq and is a predicted model, not a curated record.